RNAcentral lists this ribosomal RNA (433 nucleotides) under uncultured bacterium. RNAcentral's name for it is "partial 16S ribosomal RNA". It matches the Rfam family "Bacterial small subunit ribosomal RNA", at positions 29 to 507 of the family's 1533-position model. The record is from RNAcentral.
AGCGAACGCUGGCGGCAGGCCUAACACAUGCAAGUCGAACGAACUCUUCGGAGUUAGUGGCGGACGGGUGAGUAACACGUGGGAACGUGCCUUUUGGUUCGGAAUAACUCAGGGAAACUUGUGCUAAUACCGAAUGUGCCCCUCGGGGGAAAGAUUUAUCGCCAUUAGAGCGGCCCGCGUCUGAUUAGCUAGUUGGUGAGGUAACGGCUCACCAAGGCGACGAUCAGUAGCUGGUCUGAGAGGAUGACCAACCACACUGGGACUGAGACACGGCCCAGACUCCUACGGGAGGCAGCAGUGGGGAAUCUUGCGCAAUGGGCGAAAGCCUGACGCAGCCAUGCCGCGUGAAUGAUGAAGGUCUUAGGAUUGUAAAAUUCUUUCACCGGGGACGAUAAUGACGGUACCCGGAGAAGAAGCCCCGGCUAACUUCGUG